Long non-coding RNA from Daphnia carinata, 475 nucleotides. RefSeq lists it as uncharacterized. The record is from RefSeq and is a predicted model, not a curated record. The transcript is spliced from 3 exons. Lineage: Eukaryota; Metazoa; Arthropoda; Branchiopoda; Diplostraca; Daphniidae.
AGCAUCGCCACUGUUAAGAACUACACUACGGUAUAGGGGCAUCCGUCGUAACAAUUCAUCAGGAAAGGAGGUGGGAGAGUCAAAAUAUGUUCCUUGACUCUUUCGGAAAUGAAUGACCUACUUAGUUUAUUAUUUACCCGUGCCGCAUUGCUGCUCUUCCUCAACCCGCUAGAAUUCUUCCUCGACCUACAUAACGAGCGGUAGUUGCGACUUACGGAAUAACAAACGAUCAUAUUCGGGUACGUAGAAGAAAACAAGAAAACAUCGAAUAGGCGAGAAAAUAAAGUAAAUUACCCAAGCUAUCCACCUGUUUCGCCGUGGAUGGCUCCCCAGUCGAAGAAAGGAAGUCGGUCAAGCCAAGACUGACACAUAUUUUGGUCUUCAGAAUGGAGCGGCCUAUUUCUAGGAAGACAUCAUUUUCUACAGCUUUGAGCCCACUUGUGAUUUGAUAUAAUAGUCUUAAAAAGGGACUGGA